RNAcentral lists this small RNA (248 nucleotides) under Microtus ochrogaster (prairie vole). RNAcentral's name for it is "Metazoan signal recognition particle RNA (ENSMOCG00000011019.1)". Lineage: Eukaryota; Metazoa; Chordata; Mammalia; Rodentia; Cricetidae. The record is from RNAcentral.
GCCGGGCGGUGGUGGCGCAUGCUUUUAAUCCCAGCACUUGGGAGGCAGAGGCAGGCGGAUCUUUGUGAGUUCGAGACCAGCCUGGUCUACAAGAGCUAGUUCCAGGACAGGCUCCAAAACCACAAGAGAAACCCUGUCUCGAAAAACCAAAAAAAAAAAAAAAAAGAAUUUCUCUGUGGCUUGGAGCUUGUCCCGGAACUCGCUCUGUAGACCAGGCUAGCCUCGAACUCAGAGAUCCACCUGCCUCU